Non-coding RNA from Taeniopygia guttata (zebra finch), 349 nucleotides. The record is from RefSeq and is a predicted model, not a curated record. NCBI's taxonomy places the organism in Eukaryota, Metazoa, Chordata, Aves, Passeriformes, Estrildidae.
UCUCGGCUUUGGGUCGGUCUUGACUUUGGGUCAGUCUUGACUUUGGGUCAGGCUUGGGUUGGUCUUGACUUUGGGUUGGUCUUGACUUUGGAUUGGACUUUGGGUUGGUUGGUCUUGACUUUGGGUCGGUUUUGGAUUGGUCUUGACUUUGGGUCGCUCUUGGCCUUGGGUCAGUCUCAACUUUGGGUUGGUCUUGGAUUGGUCUUGACUUUGGGUCAGUCUUGGCCUUGGGUUGGUUGGUCUUGACUUUAGGUUGGUCUCGACCUUGGGUUGGUCUUGACUUUGGGUUGGUUGGUCUCGACUUUGGGUCACUCUUGGCCUUGGGUCGGUCUUGACUUUGGGUCGGUCU